GCUUGUUUGGCCGAGCGGUCUAAGGCGCUGCACUCAAGUUGCAGUCUCGCAAGAGGCAGCGGUUCGAAUCCGCUAGCAAGCA
Non-coding RNA from Gongronella butleri, 82 nucleotides. NCBI's taxonomy places the organism in Eukaryota, Fungi, Mucoromycota, Mucoromycetes, Mucorales, Cunninghamellaceae. The record is from the annotation of a GenBank genome assembly.